CUGGUCCUCCAACUAAUAUCCAGUCGACUUCCACUAGGGUACGCAAUAUUGUCUUCACUUGGGAGAAACCAGAAUGUGGUUAUCGGAAUGGACCAAUCUCUAGCUACGAAGUUAUGCUCUCCAAUUCGACAGGAAACGUGGUUUAUCAUGGUAAUGUGUCGGGACCUGAGCACGAGAUAUUUGGCCUCAUCCCCUAUUCAAAUUACAGCAUUAGGAUCAGGGCUUGGAAUUAUGAACUAGCAGGGGAGUAUGGUCCAGCGAUUUGGGCACAGACAGAUGAAGCAAGCCCAGAUCAACCAAUCGGAGUAAAUCUGCCAUCUUCUGACAAGGAAAGUAUCACAGU
This is a long non-coding RNA of Strongylocentrotus purpuratus (purple sea urchin), 343 nucleotides long. RefSeq lists it as uncharacterized. The record is from RefSeq and is a predicted model, not a curated record. Lineage: Eukaryota; Metazoa; Echinodermata; Echinoidea; Camarodonta; Strongylocentrotidae. The transcript is spliced from 3 exons.